This 253-nucleotide ribosomal RNA is filed under the name uncultured Gemmatimonas sp. Its description in RNAcentral is "partial 16S ribosomal RNA". It matches the Rfam family "Bacterial small subunit ribosomal RNA", at positions 524 to 776 of the family's 1533-position model. The record is from RNAcentral. Lineage: Bacteria; Pseudomonadati; Gemmatimonadota; Gemmatimonadia; Gemmatimonadales; Gemmatimonadaceae.
UACAGAGGGUGCGAGCGUUGUCCGGAAUCACUGGGCGUAAAGGGCGCGUAGGUGGCUGGGUAAGUGUGCGGUGAAAGUCCGGGGCUCAACCCCGGAUCUGCCGUGCAAACUGCCUAGCUCGAGCAUAGUAGAGGCACGUGGAAUUCCGGGUGUAGCGGUGGAAUGCGUAGAGAUCCGGAAGAACACCGGUGGCGAAGGCGGCGUGCUGGGCUAUUGCUGACACUGAGGCGCGACAGCGUGGGGAGCAAACAGG